RNA transcript from Notolabrus celidotus (New Zealand spotty), 4480 nucleotides. It is a transcript of the gene named potassium voltage-gated channel, Shaw-related subfamily, member 4, with no coding region annotated. The transcript has 5 exons. Lineage: Eukaryota; Metazoa; Chordata; Actinopteri; Labriformes; Labridae. The record is from RefSeq and is a predicted model, not a curated record.
GAGCCUGUUGCUGAACGCACCAUCCAACCGUGCUGUGUCGCUAAGGGAGGAUAGGCUACUUGUGGAGAAGGAACAGAUCUCCAGCUGGAAAACAAGCCCACAUCUGUCUGCAUGGCACGAGAGCUGAGUAGCUUCGGCAACCAGGUCUCGAGGGAUAUCUGAUUACAUGCAAGAGCGGAUUUUUUUAUCAGGUGUCAUCUUGUUGUGCGAGGAAGGGAAAAGUUGUCAGGAAUAGUUGUGCGCUUUUGCGUUGCUGAAUCUGGGUGUCAAUGAAAAAUUGUGAGGGGUGACACGUGAAUGUUGCCUCCAGUUGAGCGCGUGUCUUAUUAGUCAGUAUCUAUCUUUUAAAUCAGCCUUGUGUUCAUGAUCGGGAAAUCAGUGCAACAUCUGGAAGCAUCUUCAAGUCCCCCUGUCAAACAUUUAAAACAAAGACUGUCUUUUUCUUUGCGGCACCAGGCCGAGUUCUGUAACAGGUGGUUUUUAUUGCGCGUCUCAUUUUGGACUAUUUGGUAUUUAUUUUUUGUUAAAUGAGACAUGCACGUCAUUAUACGGACUUGGGUGUGAAAUGACGGCGCACUUUUCGUUGAUUUUCUGAUUUUUGUUCGAGUGGACACCAGUUGGUAAGGUCCCUGCUUCUCAAUGAUAAGCUCGGUGUGUGUUUCGUCUUACCGAGGGCGCAAGUCAGGCAACAAACCUCCGUCGAAAACAUGUCUGAAGGAGGAGAUGAUCAGAGGAGAGGACUCGGAGAAAAUUAUCAUCAAUGUGGGUGGAACUCGACAUGAAACCUACAAGAGUACCCUGAGGACCCUGCCAGGGACGCGCCUGGCAUGGCUGGCAGAUCCAGAACCCCAAGUCAGCUCGGACUCGGAAACCCCUGCGCCCCCGAGUUCCUCCGAGUUCUUCUUCGACAGACACCCAGGCAUCUUCGCCUAUGUGCUGAAUUACUACCGGACCGGGAAGCUGCACUGCCCGGCAGAUGUCUGUGGGCCCCUCUUUGAGGAUGAGCUGGCGUAUUGGGGUAUUGAUGAGACUGACGUGGAGCCAUGCUGCUGGAUGACCUACAGGCAACACCGGGACGCAGAGGAGGCCCUGGAUAUAUUUGAACCGCCAGAGCCGGAUGACACAGACGACGAGAGAGAGAUGCCGAGGAGGUUCGGUAUCGAGGACUGUCCGGACAGGUCGAGAAACUGCUGCCAAGGUUGGCAGCCCAAGAUGUGGGCCUUGUUUGACGACCCUUACUCGUCAAAAGCUGCCAGAGGAGUGGCAUUAGCCUCUCUGCUUUUCAUCCUGGUGUCCAUCACCACCUUCUGCCUGGAGACGCAUGAAGCCUUCAAUGAAGUGAGGAACCAGACAAAGCGAGUGGUUGUGGGUAAUGUUUCCCGCGUAGAGGAGAGGUCUGAGAUGGUGACCAAGCCUAUCCUCAUCCUGGUGGAGGGCAUCUGUGUGGUUUGGUUCACCUUUGAAUUCCUGGUGCGGAUCAUCUGCUGCCCAGACAAGGUGUUCUUCAUCAAGAACACGCUCAACAUCAUAGACUUUGUGGCCAUUCUGCCAUUUUAUCUGGAGAUGGGCCUGAGCAGCCUGCCAUCCAAAGCAGCCAGCGAUGUGCUGGGCUUCCUGCGUGUGGUGCGAUUUGUUAGGAUCCUCAGGAUCUUUAAGCUGACGAGGCACUUUGUUGGACUGCGUGUGCUUGGCCACACGCUGAGGGCCAGUGCCAAUGAGUUUCUCCUCCUCGUCAUCUUCUUGGCACUUGGUGUUCUCAUCUUCGCCACCAUGAUCUACUACGCCGAGCGAAUCGGAGCCACGCCUAGUGACCCCAACCCCACACACUUCAGGAACAUCCCCAUCAGCUUCUGGUGGGCCGUGGUCACCAUGACAACGCUAGGAUACGGAGACAUGUACCCACAGACGUGGCCAGGUAUGAUGGUGGGGGCACUGUGUGCGCUGGCUGGGGUGUUGACCAUCGCCAUGCCGGUCCCUGUGAUCGUCAAUAAUUUCGGGAUGUACUACUCUCUGGCCAUGGCCAGACAGAAGCUCCCAAAAAAGAAAAAGAAGCACAACCCCAACCCUGACGCCCCGACAGACUCUGCAUCAUUUGGGAAGUCGGAAACAAAUUCGCACAGAGACAGCACUCAGAGCGACACGUGUCCGCUGGCUGCAGAGGAGAGCGUCAGCAGGAACCGCUCAGACUCCAAACAGAACGGAGAUGCUAAUGUGGCCCUUUCAGAGGAAGAGGGCUGCAGCCUGACCCAGCCGCUAUCCCCCAAUGAAAAGUGGACUAUGCGGUGCUCUCGAGGGCGAGACAAGACGAAGAAAGAGGCCACCUGCUUCCUCUUAACCUCUGGAGACCCCAGCGUCCAUACGGGACGCAAUUAGCCAAGCCGUCAGAAACGGCAGUUCGGAAAGCAGUCAGAAACAGCUUGCCUGGCUCUGUCUAUAGAGAGCUGUAAAGACAUCCUUGCUGCCACUGGGAACUACGCUCAGCCAGAGGUCACCACUCUGACCUGAUGCUGAUUGGCUGUGAAAAGGAGAAAGAGCAUGAACUGUCCAUGGAGUAGAUGAUGUGCAGGGCUUCAACUCUGAUCCCUGCUAUCUUGAACUUUAUUGAACUGCAGACUCAGACUGGAUUAUUUUUUAUUUUUGACAAUAUUUUGUUUAUGUCGUCUGCCAAAGCCCUGUGGUACAGAGUCAGUUACAACGCAGAUCUACCAUAUUAACAGUCAUCUAGGAGUUACAUUUGCAUGUAUUGCAUGGACCAGCAUUCUAUGAACAACAUAAAGACUGGCUCCAAAUUAGACUUUUGAUUUAGCAACAUAACAUUGCUUAUCUUGAAAGUCCUGGAAUCGUAUGGAUUACUUUUGUUUUCCAGCUAACACAACCCCACUUAAACACAUACUGUCUGCCAAAGUUGGAAAAUGAAACUGCUCGUUUUCAUAUUUCAGACUCCCCUUUUUAAAAUAUAUAUGCAGUAUAUUUUCAAGAAGGAAAGGGUAAUGCAAUAGUGCCAUGCUCCAGUCAGGACGGAGUAAAAUUUACACCAGAGUCUUUCAGUCCUUGGAGGGAUUAUUGAUCACCAUCGAUCAAGUUUGAUUAAACUACAACCAAACAGUCCUCAUAAGCUGCUUUGGGGUUGUCAUCCCUAAACAAAACAAAACCAUUUUAGUGCCAGAUUAACUUUUGCUUUAGUUAUUUAAGUUGCAAAUAUUUAAUGUCUAAGAGGAAGAUUAAUAAUUGGAAAAUAUAGUUUUCAGUCAUUUUAAAUGAUCUAGCAGCCUUUUAGCUAAUUAGAUACUGCGUUGGCGUAAUUUUCUUUCUAUUCUUGGAGUAAUAUACAUAAACAGUUUGAGCUCCUGUUGGAACUGAAAAGAAAACACCCCUAACUUUCUUUGCUUUAUUGUCUUCUAGCCAUAGGCGCUAUUUUCAAGUAAGAACACUAAGACAUUUGUGAAUAUUGGUUUGUGUAGUCACUGUAACUGUGAACUAGGAUUAGAUGAAAACUUGAAAUCAUAAUUACCUGCUCUCUGCUUUCUAACACUGAUCACAGGGACAACAUGCAGAUUGUCUAUCCAGGCAGGACAUGGUAUGAAUGGUGCUCAGGCUACACAUUGUUUGUAAAUCCUUGUACAAAAAGAGUUUUAACAAAAGCAGAGACAAAUCAAUGCAGCAGUAUUGUUUUGUUACAUUAGCUGUAUACAACUGAUGCAUCACUGCUGGUUGAGUCCGGACCAAAUGUACGCUCUAUUAGAUUACGUGGUAGAUUUUCAGUACUAUUGUUAGUAAAAAAUACAUCCAGUACACUGCCAUUAGAUCCACUUGUGCCUCAUGUUGAGUAAUGGAGCUUAAACGUGUGCAGUAAUGUCAUUAGAUUUAUUCCUUAACACUUCGGGUGGCGUGGGAUCUGUAGGAAACUGUGUUUCCACGUGGAGAGAAGCAGUGGGAGUGUGGUUUCUUUCACAUGUGAUUAUAAUAUAUCCUCCUGGUCUACCAUAGUGGCCUUAUGUUUAAUAAACAAAGGGAAAGCUCAUUUCAUCUGUAUUAGACUGCAGCUCUGUCUCUACGCUGACCCUGCGGUUAUGUAAUUAUGUAUAAGCACAGAUGUACGUAUGUAGCACAGUAGGAUUAUCUUGAUUGUAUUUACAUAAACUAUUUUCUUCUGUAUAUGACAUGUUAUGCAUCAUGAAAUAUCUGUUAUCAAUGAUGAAGGAUUAUUAUUUUGAUAUUUUACCUAUUACCCUUAUUCUCUGUUUUCACUGUUGCAUAUAUGAAUGUGAUGGAGAUGCAAACAGCACAUCAGAUUCAUAUCUCCUCAUUAUGGAUUGUAUAGGCGACUGUGAUGGAUUUCAAUGCAGUCCAACUGUCAUAUGUUGUGUGUGUGUGUGUGUGUGUGUGUGUGUGUGGGGGGGGGGGUGAUGUAUCAUAUAGGCAUGUGUUUCUAUGAAGAAACAGAAAUAAAAUCUAUUCCCCCCUCUGGUGUUGACGAUAC